Spinacia oleracea (spinach) is the source of this 327-nucleotide long non-coding RNA. RefSeq lists it as uncharacterized. Lineage: Eukaryota; Viridiplantae; Streptophyta; Magnoliopsida; Caryophyllales; Amaranthaceae. The transcript has 3 exons. The record is from RefSeq and is a predicted model, not a curated record.
CAGGGGUAAAGUUUGGAUGAUUCCCACAAAGGAAGAUCUUGAGCGCUUCAUCUUUUGAGUAUGCACAUCUUACCCUCUCUCCUACCCUAUUGGCGGGUCCUUAUGAAUGGCUUAGUUAUAAAGAGGCGUAUGAUUCAACGCUUCAAAUCGGCUCAGCUAUUAGGAAAUGUGGAGUUAAUCCCGUAUUUCCAGCCAAGUAGAUUGUGCUAUCAAGAUACUCAACCUAGAGAUUAAGUUGGAUUCCAUAGUUUGUAUAAUAAAAUAUCGUAAAGAGCUGGAGAAAUAUAUUUAGUUACUUUGGUACUAAGAAUUUGAUUUUUAAUCAUG